CGCUGGCGGCGUGCUAAUACAUGCAAGUCGAGCGAACGGACGAGAAGCUUGCUUCUCUGAUGUUAGCGGCGGACGGGUGAGUAACACGUGGAUAACCUACCUAUAAGACUGGGAUAACUUCGGGAAACCGGAGCUAAUACCGGAUAAUAUUUUGAACCGCAUGGUUCAAAAGUGAAAGACGGUCUUGCUGUCACUUAUAGAUGGAUCCGCGCUGCAUUAGCUAGUUGGUAAGGUAACGGCUUACCAAGGCAACGAUGCAUAGCCGACCUGAGAGGGUGAUCGGCCACACUGGAACUGAGACACGGUCCAGACUCCUACGGGAGGCAGCAGUAGGGAAUCUUCCGCAAUGGGCGAGAGCCUGACGGAGCAACGCCGCGUGAGUGAUGAAGGUCUUCGGAUCGUAAAACUCUGUUAUUAGGGAAGAACAUAUGUGUAAGUAACUGUGCACAUCUUGACGGUACCUAAUCAGAAAGCCACGGCUAACUACGUGCCAGCAGCCGCGGUAAUACGUAGGUGGCAAGCGUUAUCCGGAAUUAUUGGGCGUAAAGCGCGCGUAGGCGGUUUUUUAAGUCUGAUGUGAAAGGCCCACGGGUCAACCGUGGAGGGUCACUUGGAGACUGGAACACUUGAGUGCAGAAGAGGAAACGUGGAAUUCCACUGGUGUUACCCGGGUGGAACAUUGGCGGCCAGAGAUAUUGGGAAGGGAACAACCAGUUGGGCGAAAGGCGAACUCUNCUGGGUCCUGGUAACUUGGACACGCGUGAUAUGUGGUGA
This 774-nucleotide ribosomal RNA is filed under the name uncultured Staphylococcus sp. RNAcentral describes it as "bacterial SSU rRNA". It matches the Rfam family "Bacterial small subunit ribosomal RNA", at positions 34 to 767 of the family's 1533-position model. The record is from RNAcentral. Lineage: Bacteria; Bacillati; Bacillota; Bacilli; Caryophanales; Staphylococcaceae.